This 896-nucleotide ribosomal RNA is filed under the name Wolbachia endosymbiont of Formica cinerea. RNAcentral's name for it is "bacterial SSU rRNA". It matches the Rfam family "Bacterial small subunit ribosomal RNA", at positions 73 to 1002 of the family's 1533-position model. Lineage: Bacteria; Pseudomonadati; Pseudomonadota; Alphaproteobacteria; Rickettsiales; Anaplasmataceae. The record is from RNAcentral.
UUGUAGCCUGCUAUGGUAUAACUUAGUGGCAGACGGGUGAGUAAUAUAUAGGAAUCUACCUAGUAGUACGGAAUAAUUGUUGGAAACGGCAACUAAUACCGUAUACGCCCUACGGGGGAAAAAUUUAUUGCUAUUAGAUGAGCCUAUAUUAGAUUAGCUAGUUGGUGGAGUAAUAGCCUACCAAGACAAUGAUCUAUAGCUGAUCUGAGAGGAUGAUCAGCCACACUGGAACUGAGAUACGGUCUAGACUCCUACGGGAGGCAGCAGUGGGGAAUAUUGGACAAUGGGCGAAAGCCUGAUCCAGCCAUGCCGCAUGAGUGAAGAAGGCCUUUGGGUUGUAAAGCUCUUUUAGUGAGGAAGAUAAUGACGGUACUCACAGAAGAAGUCCUGGCUAACUCCGUGCCAGCAGCCGCGGUAAUACGGAGAGGGCUAGCGUUAUUCGGAAUUAUUGGGCGUAAAGGGCGCGUAGGCUGGUUAGUAAGUUAAAAGUGAAAUCCCGAGGCUUAACCUUGGAACUGCUUUUAAAACUGCUAACCUAGAGAUUGAAAGAGGAUAGAGGAAUUCCUAGUGUAGAGGUGAAAUUCGUAAAUAUUAGGAGGAACACCAGUGGCGAAGGCGUCUAUCUGGUUCAAAUCUGACGCUGAGGCGCGAAGGCGUGGGGAGCAAACAGGAUUAGAUACCCUGGUAGUCCACGCUGUAAACGAUGAAUGUUAAAUAUGGGAAGUUUACUUUCUGUAUUACAGCUAACGCGUUAAACAUUCCGCCCGGGGACUACGGUCGCGAGAUUAAAACUCAAAGGAAUUGACGGGGACCCGCACAAGCGGUGGAGCAUGUGGUUUAAUUCGAUGCAACGCGAAAAACCUUACCACUCCUUGACAUGAAAAUCAUACCUAUUC